UACGAAGGGGGCUAGCGUUGCUCGGAAUCACUGGGCGUAAAGGGUGCGUAGGCGGGUCUUUAAGUCAGGGGUGAAAUCCUGGAGCUCAACUCCAGAACUGCCUUUGAUACUGAGGAUCUUGGGUCCGGGAGAGGUGAGUGGAACUGCGAGUGUAGAGGUGAAAUUCGUAGAUAUUCGCAAGAACACCAGUGGCGAAGGCGGCUCACUGGCCCGGUACUGACGCUGAGGCACGAAAGCGUGGGGAGCAAACAGG
RNAcentral lists this ribosomal RNA (253 nucleotides) under uncultured bacterium. RNAcentral describes it as "partial 16S ribosomal RNA". It matches the Rfam family "Bacterial small subunit ribosomal RNA", at positions 524 to 776 of the family's 1533-position model. The record is from RNAcentral.